CACCAGACUCCUACGGGAGGCAGCAGUAGGGAAUAUUGCUCAAUGGGGGAAACCCUGAAGCAGCAACGCCGCGUGGAGGAUGAAGGUUUUCGGAUUGUAAACUCCUUUUGUUAGAGAAGAUAAUGACGGUAUCUAACGAAUAAGCACCGGCUAACUCCGUGCCAGCAGCCGCGGUAAUACGGAGGAUCCGAGCGUUAUCCGGAUUCAUUGGGUUUAAAGGGUGCGUAGGUUGUUUUAUAAGUUAGCGGUGAAAUACCGAUGCUCAACAUCGGGGCUGCCGCUAAUACUGUAGGACUAGAGAUCGGAUGCAGCAGGCGGAAUGUGUAGUGUAGCGGUGAAAUGCAUAGAUAUUACGCAGAACUCCGAUUGCGAAGGCAGCAUACCGGCGCCCAACUGACGCUGAAGCACGAAAGCGUGGGUAUCGAACAGGAUUAGAUACCCGAGUAU
This 447-nucleotide ribosomal RNA is filed under the name uncultured bacterium. RNAcentral's name for it is "bacterial SSU rRNA". It matches the Rfam family "Bacterial small subunit ribosomal RNA", at positions 329 to 793 of the family's 1533-position model. The record is from RNAcentral.